CCUACGGGUGGCAGCAGUGAGGAAUAUUGGUCAAUGGACGAGAGUCUGAACCAGCCAAGUAGCGUGAAGGAUGACUGCCCUAUGGGUUGUCAACUUCUUUUAUAUGGGAAUAAAAUGUUCCACGUGUGGGAUUUUGUAUGUACCAUAUGAAUAAGGAUCGGCUAACUCCGUGCCAGAAGCCGCGGUAAUACGGAGGAUACGAGCGGUAUCCGGCUUUAGUGGGUUUAAAGGGGGCGUAGGUGGAUUGUUAAGUCAGUUGUGAAAGUUUGCGGCUCAACCGUAAAAUUGCAGUUGAAACUGGCAGUCUUGAGUACAGUAGAGGUAGGCGGAAUUCGUGGUGGAGCGGUGAAAUGCUUAGAUAUCACGAAGAACUCCGAUUGCGAAGGCAGCUCACUGGAUUGCAACUGACACUGAGGCUCGAAAGUGUGGGUAUCAAACAGGAUUAGAUACCCUUGUAGUC
This 460-nucleotide ribosomal RNA is filed under the name uncultured bacterium. RNAcentral's name for it is "partial 16S ribosomal RNA". It matches the Rfam family "Bacterial small subunit ribosomal RNA", at positions 338 to 795 of the family's 1533-position model. The record is from RNAcentral.